UACGGGAGGCAGCAGUGGGGGAUAUUGCGCAAUGGGGGCAACCCUGACGCAGCAACGCCGCGUGAAGGAUGAAGGUUUUCGGAUUGUAAACUUCUUUUGUUAGGGACGAAAAUUGACGGUACCUAACGAAUAAGCUCCGGCUAACUACGUGCCAGCAGCCGCGGUAAU
Molecule: ribosomal RNA, 168 nt
Filed under: uncultured rumen bacterium
Lineage: Bacteria
Description: partial 16S ribosomal RNA
Rfam family: Bacterial small subunit ribosomal RNA
Source: RNAcentral